RNAcentral lists this ribosomal RNA (760 nucleotides) under uncultured bacterium. RNAcentral describes it as "bacterial SSU rRNA". It matches the Rfam family "Bacterial small subunit ribosomal RNA", at positions 8 to 796 of the family's 1533-position model. The record is from RNAcentral.
AGAGUUUGAUCAUGGCUCAGAACGAACGCUGGCGGCAUGCCUAACACAUGCAAGUCGGACGCUUUUGGGGUUUCGGCCUCAAGGGAGUGGCGGACGGGUGAGUAGCGCGUGGGAACCUGCCCCUUUGUGGGGGAUAACCGAGGGAAACUUCGGCUAAUACCGCAUGCGCCCCGGCGAAAGCUGGGGGAAAGAUUUAUCGCAGAGGGAGGGGCCCGCGUCGGAUUAGGUAGUUGGUGGGGUAACGGCCUACCAAGCCGGUGAUCCGUAGCUGGUCUGAGAGGAUGAUCAGCCACACUGGGACUGAGACACGGCCCAGACUCCUACGGGAGGCAGCAGUGGGGAAUAUUGGACAAUGGGCGCAAGCCUGAUCCAGCAAUGCCGCGUGAGUGAUGAAGGCCUUCGGGUUGUAAAGCUCUUUCGGCGGGGACGAUGAUGACGGUACCCGCAGAAGAAGCCCCGGCUAACUUCGUGCCAGCAGCCGCGGUAAUACGGAGGGGGCGAGCGUUGUUCGGAUUUACUGGGCGUAAAGGGCGCGUAGGCGGCGGGUCAAGUCGAGUGUGAAAGCCCCGGGCUCAACCUGGGAAUUGCGCUCGAGACUGGUCUGCUUGAGUUCGGGAGAGGAGAGUGGAAUUCCCAGUGUAGAGGUGAAAUUCGUAGAUAUUGGGAAGAACACCGGUGGCGAAGGCGGCUCUCUGGACCGAGACUGACGCUGAGGCGCGAAAGCGUGGGGAGCAAACAGGAUUAGAUACCCCUGUAGUCC